This 494-nucleotide ribosomal RNA is filed under the name uncultured Chitinophagaceae bacterium. RNAcentral describes it as "partial 16S ribosomal RNA". Lineage: Bacteria; Pseudomonadati; Bacteroidota; Chitinophagia; Chitinophagales; Chitinophagaceae. The record is from RNAcentral.
CACGGAGUUAGCCGGUGCUUAUUCAUCAGGUACCGUCAAAUGAGCUGGAAAGCUCACAUUUCUUCCCGGAUAAAAGAAGUUUACAAUCCAGAGGACCUUCAUCCUUCACGCGGCAUGGCUGGUUCAGACUUGCGUCCAUUGACCAAUAUUCCUUACUGCUGCCUCCCGUAGGAGUCGGGCCCGUGUCUCAGUGCCCGUGUGACUGGUCGUGCUCUCACACCAGUUACUGAUCGUCGGCUUGGUGAGCCGUUACCACACCAACUACCUAAUCAGACGCACGCCCAUCUUUCAGUAAUAAAUCUUUAAUAGCUGAGUGAUGCCACUCUACUAUCCUAUGGGGUAUUAAUCCAAAUUUCUCUGGGCUAUCCCCGCUGAAAGGAAGGUUGCGUACGUGUUCCGCACCCGUUUGCCGGUCGCCGCCCGGUAUUGCUACCUGCGCUGCCCCUCGACUUGCAUGUAUUAAGCCUGCCGCUAGCGUUCAUCCUGAGCCAGGA